CCGGCACGGGUGAGUAACACGUAUCCAACCUGCCGUCUACUCUUGGACAGCCUUCUGAAAGGAAGAUUAAUACAAGAUGGCAUCAUGAGUCCGCAUGUUCACAUGAUUAAAGGUAUUCCGGUAGACGAUGGGGAUGCGUUCCAUUAGAUAGUAGGCGGGGUAACGGCCCACCUAGUCUUCGAUGGAUAGGGGUUCUGAGAGGAAGGUCCCCCACACUGGAACUGAGACACGGUCCAA
RNAcentral lists this ribosomal RNA (237 nucleotides) under uncultured bacterium. RNAcentral's name for it is "partial 16S ribosomal RNA". It matches the Rfam family "Bacterial small subunit ribosomal RNA", at positions 100 to 334 of the family's 1533-position model. The record is from RNAcentral.